GCGGAGGAAAAGAAAAUAACAAUGAUUUCCCUAGUAACGGCGAGUGAAGAGGAAAGAGCUCAAAGUUGGAACCUGUUUGGCUUAGCUAAACCGGAUUGUAAACUGUAGAAGUGUUUUCCUGACACGCCUGGUAAAAAAGUCCUUUGGAACAGGGCAUCAUAGAGGGUGAGAAUCCCGUGUUUGGCCAGAGCUGUUGUCUUUUGUGAUACAUUUUCAAAGAGUCAGGUUGUUUGGGAAUGCAGCCUAAAUUGGGUGGUAAAUCUCACCUAAAGCUAAAUAUUUGCGAGAGACCGAUAGCGAACAAGUACCGUGAGGGAAAGAUGAAAAGAACUUUGAAAAGAGAGUUAAACAGUAUGUGAAAUUGUUAAAAGGGAACCGUUUGGAGCCAGACUGGCUUGACUGUAAUCAAUCUAGGCUUCGGCCUGGAUGCACUUGCGGUUUAUGCCUGCCAACGACAAUUUUUUUUGAGGGAAAAAACUAUUAGGAAUGUGGCCCCUCUCGGGGGGUGUUAUAGCCUUUUAGAAAAUACCUUGAAUUGGAUUGAGGAACGCAGUGAAUGCCUUUAGGCAAGAUUGCUGGGUGCUUUCGUUAAUA
This 594-nucleotide ribosomal RNA is filed under the name Pilaira moreaui. Its description in RNAcentral is "partial large subunit ribosomal RNA". It matches the Rfam family "Eukaryotic large subunit ribosomal RNA", at positions 50 to 632 of the family's 3401-position model. The record is from RNAcentral. Lineage: Eukaryota; Fungi; Mucoromycota; Mucoromycetes; Mucorales; Mucoraceae.